GGGGAAUAUUGGACAAUGGGCGAAAGCCUGAUCCAGCCAUGCCGCGUGAGUGAUGAAGGCCCUAGGGUUGUAAAGCUCUUUCACCGGUGAAGAUAAUGACGGUAACCGGAGAAGAAGCCCCGGCUAACUUCGUGCCAGCAGCCGCGGUAAUACGAAGGGGGCUAGCGUUGUUCGGAAUUACUGGGCGUAAAGCGCACGUAGGCGGAUUGUUAAGUGAGGGGUGAAAUCCCAGGGCUCAACCCUGGAACUGCCUUUCAUACUGGCAAUCUCGAGUCCGAGAGAGGUGAGUGGAAUUCCGAGUGUAGAGGUGAAAUUCGUAGAUAUUCGGAGGAACACCAGUGGCGAAGGCGGCUCACUGGCUCGGUACUGACGCUGAGGUGCGAAAGCGUGGGGAGCAAAC
This 400-nucleotide ribosomal RNA is filed under the name uncultured bacterium. RNAcentral's name for it is "bacterial SSU rRNA". It matches the Rfam family "Bacterial small subunit ribosomal RNA", at positions 356 to 773 of the family's 1533-position model. The record is from RNAcentral.